CCUACGGGAGGCAGCAGUGGGGAAUAUUGCGCAAUGGCCGCAAGGCUGACGCAGCGACGCCGCGUGGGGGAUGAAGCAUUUCGGCGUGUAAACCCCUGUUGCCCGGGACGAACCGCUCGUUUCGACGAGUCUGACGGUACCGGGUGAGGAAGCACCGGCUAACUCCGUGCCAGCAGCCGCGGUAAUACGGAGGGUGCGAGCGUUGUCCGGAAUCACUGGGCGUAAGGGCGCGUAGGCGGUCUGCUAAGCGUGUGGUGAAAGCUCGGGGCUCAACCCUGAGUCGGCCAUGCGAACUGGUGGACUGGAGCACUGUAGAGGCAGGUGGAAUUCCGGGUGUAGCGGUGGAAUGCGUAGAGAUCCGGAAGAACACCGGUGGCGAAGGCGGCCUGCUGGGCAGUAGCUGACGCUGAGGCGCGACAGCGUGGGGAGCAAACAGGAUUAGAUACCCUGGUAGUCCACGCCGUAAACGAUGGGGACUAGGUGCUUGGGGGAACGACCCCCCGAGUGCCGGCGCUAACGCAUUAAGUCCCCCGCCUGGGGAGUACGGCCGCAAGGCUGAAACUCAAAGGAAUUGACGG
This 578-nucleotide ribosomal RNA is filed under the name uncultured bacterium. Its description in RNAcentral is "bacterial SSU rRNA". It matches the Rfam family "Bacterial small subunit ribosomal RNA", at positions 338 to 916 of the family's 1533-position model. The record is from RNAcentral.